Schistocerca nitens (vagrant locust) is the source of this 327-nucleotide long non-coding RNA. RefSeq lists it as uncharacterized. The record is from RefSeq and is a predicted model, not a curated record. The transcript is spliced from 3 exons. Lineage: Eukaryota; Metazoa; Arthropoda; Insecta; Orthoptera; Acrididae.
AUUAAUAAUAGUGUGGUAACGGGGUUACUGUGUUCAGUCAUGCACGAUUUGAAUUCAAAAAACGUUACCGAAGAUCUGCAGUUCUUGUACAUUUUAAUACAUGGCUAUACCUGGCAAAUGAGAUGAAGUUGUACCACUUCCAUCAGUCCCGACAUUUGUCAAAGAAGUGCAGUUUAUAAAUGACCAAGUGGAUGAAGCAGCCACACUCUCACCGGUCCAGAUAUUCCUCAAAGAAGAGGAAGGUGUAAGUAUUCAUGAAAUACUGACUGUCAGUUACACACUGAAGUAAUGAGAUAACUGUUAAUUGUAUUUCAUUUACCAGUAGUA